This 232-nucleotide unclassified non-coding RNA is filed under the name Hevea brasiliensis (rubber tree). Lineage: Eukaryota; Viridiplantae; Streptophyta; Magnoliopsida; Malpighiales; Euphorbiaceae. The record is from RNAcentral.
GAGAGAGAGAGAGAGAGGAUGUUGGUUGUCAGCAUUUGUUGGAGAUGUUAUUAUGGAUUGAGAAAAUAUUAGGGUGUUAGUACCCUAAAUUGUUUUUGAGUCUACUAAGAGUGUCAAGAAAAAUUUGUAUGGCCUUUUAUUAUGUGUGUGAAUGGAUUGUGGAGCAUGCUAGGGAUAUUAAGAUUCUAAUGCGAAUUGAAUUUGAAUGCGCCUCUCUAAUAUUGAAUCAAAA